RNAcentral lists this ribosomal RNA (441 nucleotides) under uncultured bacterium. RNAcentral's name for it is "partial 16S ribosomal RNA". It matches the Rfam family "Bacterial small subunit ribosomal RNA", at positions 338 to 795 of the family's 1533-position model. The record is from RNAcentral.
CCUACGGGAGGCAGCAGUGGGGAAUAUUGCACAAUGGGGGAAACCCUGAUGCAGCGACGCCGCGUGAGUGAAGAAGUAUUUCGGUAUGUAAAGCUCUAUCAGCAGGGAAGAAGAAAGACGGUACCUGACUAAGAAGCCCCGGCUAACUACGUGCCAGCAGCCGCGGUAAUACGUAGGGGGCAAGCGUUAUCCGGAUUUACUGGGUGUAAAGGUAGCGUAGACGGCUGUGCAAGUCUGAAGUGAAAGCCCAGGGUUCAACCCUGGGACUGCUUUGGAAACUGUGGAGGUAGAGUGCUGGAGAGGUAAGUGGAAUUCCUAGUGUAGCGGUGAAAUGCGUAGAUAUUAGGAGGAACACCAGUGGCGAAGGCGGCUUACUGGACAGUAACUGACGUUGAGGCUCGAAAGCGUGGGGAGCAAACAGGAUUAGAUACCCGAGUAGUC